This 253-nucleotide ribosomal RNA is filed under the name uncultured bacterium. RNAcentral describes it as "partial 16S ribosomal RNA". It matches the Rfam family "Bacterial small subunit ribosomal RNA", at positions 524 to 776 of the family's 1533-position model. The record is from RNAcentral.
UACGUAGGGUGCGAGCGUUAAUCGGAAUUACUGGGCGUAAAGCGUGCGCAGGCGGUUAUGUAAGACAGGUGUGAAAUCCCCGGGCUUAACCUGGGAACUGCAUUUGUGACUGCAUAGCUAGAGUACGGUAGAGGGUGAUGGAAUUCCGCGUGUAGCAGUGAAAUGCGUAGAUAUGCGGAGGAACACCGAUGGCGAAGGCAAUCCCCUGGACCUGUACUGACGCUCAUGCACGAAAGCGUGGGGAGCAAACAGG